AGCGAACGUUUGCGGCGGGCUUAACACAUGCAAGUCGAACGAGAAUCCCUUCGGGGAGGAAAGUGGCGCACGGGUGCGUAACACGUGGAUAACCAACCCAUUGGUUUGGGACAACACCGGGAAACUGGUGCUAAUACCAGAUGUGUCGCAGCUGUCUUCAGGCGGUUGCGAGAAAGGCCCGCAAGGGUCGCCAACGGACGGGUCCGCGUCCCAUCAGCUAGUUGGUGAGGUAAUGGCUCACCAAGGCAAAGACGGGUAGCUGGUCUGAGAGGAUGAUCAGCCACACUGGAACUGAGACACGGUCCAGACUCCUACGGGAGGCAGCAGUGGGGAAUAUUGCGCAAUGGGCGAAAGCCUGACGCAGCCACGCCGCGUGAGCGAUGAAGGUCUUCGGAUCGUAAAGCUCUGUGGGGGGAGAAGAAGAAAGCCGGUGAAGAGCCGGCCCUGACGGUAUCCCCUUACGCAAGCACCGGCGUAACUCCGU
RNAcentral lists this ribosomal RNA (484 nucleotides) under uncultured bacterium. RNAcentral's name for it is "bacterial SSU rRNA". It matches the Rfam family "Bacterial small subunit ribosomal RNA", at positions 29 to 506 of the family's 1533-position model. The record is from RNAcentral.